GUGAAUCAUCAAAUUUUUGAACGCAAAUUGCACUUCUUGGUAUUCCGAGAAGUACACAUGCUUGAGGGUCAGUUAAAAAAAAGUCGUACAUCUUUGAUGUUACGGAUCUGGGUAUAUCGAUUUUAUAAAUCGAUUACCUAAAAUUAAUAUAUAUAUGUAAUGUGAAGCGUACUAAUUAUAGUCGUUAAUCAUUUUAUAUUUAUUACAUUACAACUAAGUAAUUUAGGUAGUGAUGUAUGAAUUAUGAGAAUGACCUCAAGUCAUGUGAGAGUACCCGCUGAACUUAAGCAUAUCAAUAAG
RNAcentral lists this unclassified non-coding RNA (300 nucleotides) under Gigaspora rosea. RNAcentral describes it as "partial contains 5.8S ribosomal RNA, internal transcribed spacer 2, and large subunit ribosomal RNA". The stretch from base 1 to 71 matches the Rfam family "5.8S ribosomal RNA", at positions 84 to 154 of the family's 154-position model. The record is from RNAcentral. Lineage: Eukaryota; Fungi; Glomeromycota; Glomeromycetes; Diversisporales; Gigasporaceae.